Molecule: ribosomal RNA, 374 nt
Filed under: uncultured bacterium
Lineage: Bacteria
Description: bacterial SSU rRNA
Rfam family: Bacterial small subunit ribosomal RNA
Source: RNAcentral
AUACGUAGGGAGCAAGCGUUGUCCGGAAUUACUGGGCGUAAAGGGUGCGUAGGCGGCAUGUUAAGUUAGAUGUCAAAUACCCGGGCUUAACCCGGGGACGCAUCUAAAACUGGCGUGCUUGAGUGCAGGAGAGGAAAGCGGAAUUCCUAGUGUAGCGGUGGAAUGCGUAGAUAUUAGGAGGAACACCAGUGGCGAAGGCGGCUUUCUGGACUGUAACUGACGCUGAAGCACGAAAGCGUGGGGAGCAAACAGGAUUAGAUACCCUGGUAGUCCACGCUGUAAACGAUGGAUACUAGGUGUGGGUGACAGAAGUCAUCUGUGCCGCAGCAAACGCAAUAAGUAUCCCGCCUGGGGAGUACGGUCGCAAGACUGAA